GGGUUGUGAGGUUAAGCGACUAAGCGUACACGGUGGAUGCCCUGGCAGUCAGAGGCGAUGAAGGGCGUGCUAAUCUGCGAUAAGCGCCGGUAAGGUGAUAUGAACCGUUAUAACCGGCGAUACCCGAAUGGGGAAACCCAGUGUGACUCGUCACACUAUCAUUAACUGAAUCCAUAGGUUAAUGAGGCGAACCGGGGGAACUGAAACAUCUAAGUACCCCGAGGAAAAGAAAUCAACCGAGAUUCCCCCAGUAGCGGCGAGCGAACGGGGAGGAGCCCAGAGCCUGAAUCAGCAUGUGUGUUAGUGGAAGCGUCUGGAAAGGCGCGCGAUACAGGGUGACAGCCCCGUACACAAAAGCGCAUGUGCUGUGAGCUCGAUGAGUAGGGCGGGACACGUGGUAUCCUGUCUGAAUAUGGGGGGACCAUCCUCCAAGGCUAAAUACUCCUGACUGACCGAUAGUGAACCAGUACCGUGAGGGAAAGGCGAAAAGAACCCCGGCGAGGGGAGUGAAAAAGAACCUGAAACCGUGUACGUACAAGCAGUGGGAGCCCCACCACUAAGCCAGUGGUGAACUCCACAUACGCAUCCUUUGCUGAGGAUACGGUUAACGGAGCGAAAGCGACGUUCAACCGCAAAAGAAGCAGAGGGGGCUUAGUGGUGGGGUGACUGCGUACCUUUUGUAUAAUGGGUCAGCGACUUAUAUUCUGUAGCAAGGUUAACCGCAUAGGGGAGCCGGAGGGAAACCGAGUCUUAAUUGGGCGUUAAGUUGCAGGGUAUAGACCCGAAACCCGGUGAUCUAGCCAUGGGCAGGUUGAAGGUUGGGUAACACUAACUGGAGGACCGAACCGACUAAUGUUGAAAAAUUAGCGGAUGACCUGUGGCUGGGGGUGAAAGGCCAAUCAAACCGGGAGAUAGCUGGUUCUCCCCGAAAGCUAUUUAGGUAGCGCCUCGUGAAUUCAUCUCCGGGGGUAGAGCACUGUUUCGGCUAGGGGGCCAUCCCGGCUUACCAACCCGAUGCAAACUGCGAAUACCGGAGAAUGUUAUCACGGGAGACACACGGCGGGUGCUAACGUCCGUCGUGAAGAGGGAAACAACCCAGACCGCCAGCUAAGGUCCCAAAGUCAUGGUUAAGUGGGAAACGAUGUGGGAAGGCCCAGACAGCCAGGAUGUUGGCUUAGAAGCAGCCAUCAUUUAAAGAAAGCGUAAUAGCUCACUGGUCGAGUCGGCCUGCGCGGAAGAUGUAACGGGGCUAAACCAUGCACCGAAGCUGCGGCAGCGACGCUGAUGCGUUGUUGGGUAGGGGAGCGUUCUGUAAGCCUGCGAAGGUGGCCUGUGAAGGUUGCUGGAGGUAUCAGAAGUGCGAAUGCUGACAUAAGUAACGAUAAAGCGGGUGAAAAGCCCGCUCGCCGGAAGACCAAGGGUUCCUGUCCAACGUUAAUCGGGGCAGGGUGAGUCGACCCCUAAGGCGAGGCCGAAAGGCGUAGUCGAUGGGAAACGGGUUAAUAUUCCCGUACUUGGUGUUACUGCGAAGGGGGGACGGAGAAGGCUAUGUUGGCCGGGCGACGGUUGUCCCGGUUUAAGCGUGUAGGCUGGUUUUCCAGGCAAAUCCGGAAAAUCAAGGCUGAGGCGUGAUGACGAGGCACUACGGUGCUGAAGCAACAAAUGCCCUGCUUCCAGGAAAAGCCUCUAAGCAUCAGGUAACAUCAAAUCGUACCCCAAACCGACACAGGUGGUCAGGUAGAGAAUACCAAGGCGCUUGAGAGAACUCGGGUGAAGGAACUAGGCAAAAUGGUGCCGUAACUUCGGGAGAAGGCACGCUGACACGUAGGUGAAGUGAUUUACUCAUGGAGCUGAAGUCAGUCGAAGAUACCAGCUGGCUGCAACUGUUUAUUAAAAACACAGCACUGUGCAAACACGAAAGUGGACGUAUACGGUGUGACGCCUGCCCGGUGCCGGAAGGUUAAUUGAUGGGGUCAGCGCAAGCGAAGCUCCUGAUCGAAGCCCCGGUAAACGGCGGCCGUAACUAUAACGGUCCUAAGGUAGCGAAAUUCCUUGUCGGGUAAGUUCCGACCUGCACGAAUGGCGUAAUGAUGGCCAGGCUGUCUCCACCCGAGACUCAGUGAAAUUGAACUCGCUGUGAAGAUGCAGUGUACCCGCGGCAAGACGGAAAGACCCCGUGAACCUUUACUAUAGCUUGACACUGAACAUUGAGCCUUGAUGUGUAGGAUAGGUGGGAGGCUUUGAAGUGUGGACGCCAGUCUGCAUGGAGCCGACCUUGAAAUACCACCCUUUAAUGUUUGAUGUUCUAACGUGGACCCGUGAUCCGGGUUGCGGACAGUGUCUGGUGGGUAGUUUGACUGGGGCGGUCUCCUCCUAAAGAGUAACGGAGGAGCACGAAGGUUGGCUAAUCCUGGUCGGACAUCAGGAGGUUAGUGCAAUGGCAUAAGCCAGCUUGACUGCGAGCGUGACGGCGCGAGCAGGUGCGAAAGCAGGUCAUAGUGAUCCGGUGGUUCUGAAUGGAAGGGCCAUCGCUCAACGGAUAAAAGGUACUCCGGGGAUAACAGGCUGAUACCGCCCAAGAGUUCAUAUCGACGGCGGUGUUUGGCACCUCGAUGUCGGCUCAUCACAUCCUGGGGCUGAAGUAGGUCCCAAGGGUAUGGCUGUUCGCCAUUUAAAGUGGUACGCGAGCUGGGUUUAGAACGUCGUGAGACAGUUCGGUCCCUAUCUGCCGUGGGCGCUGGAGAACUGAGGGGGGCUGCUCCUAGUACGAGAGGACCGGAGUGGACGCAUCACUGGUGUUCGGGUUGUCAUGCCAAUGGCACUGCCCGGUAGCUAAAUGCGGAAGAGAUAAGUGCUGAAAGCAUCUAAGCACGAAACUUGCCCCGAGAUGAGUUCUCCCUGAGACUUAGAGUCUCCUGAAGGAACGUUGAAGACGACGACGUUGAUAGGCCGGGUGUGUAAGCGCAGCGAUGCGUUGAGCUAACCGGUACUAAUGAACCGUGAGGCUUAACCUUACAACGCCGAAG
This 3026-nucleotide ribosomal RNA is filed under the name Salmonella enterica subsp. enterica serovar Albany. RNAcentral's name for it is "23S ribosomal RNA". It matches the Rfam family "Bacterial large subunit ribosomal RNA". The record is from RNAcentral. RNAcentral also lists the same sequence under 1 other name. Lineage: Bacteria; Pseudomonadati; Pseudomonadota; Gammaproteobacteria; Enterobacterales; Enterobacteriaceae.